GUCAAAGGUGAAAGGCAAGGCUAACGAAGCUAACGCGAAGAGUGAGGAGACAUCCACUGGUGUACUUAACGAAAAUUUUCGUUUUAGAUUAAAGUGUGGAUGAAACGAAAGUUGUGUGUACACGGUGCAGCGAUGAACUGUUUUUUCCACCGAAGCACAACGAGUCUGAAGUACGACCUCCGAGCAAAGCAAGUCUUUGUCGAUGUUAGCAAAGAUGCUAGCACCGAGUCUGGACGUAGCCGCGCUCCGUCAAACUUCACUGGGAGAGUUCAGCCAGGACCACAACAACUAAGCUAACUGGAUACGGAGACAACAGAUCGCAUCAGGCCCAUUUGUCACCACAAGAAAAGCUUCUCCGCAGCCCGUGGAACCCCCCUCUUCUUCUUUAAUAACCUGGGUUCGCAUGAGACGUCAUUCAUGUUCAGAAAAGUGCUCGGGCGGGCUGGAAGAGACUCACGGCGGAGCAUGCAGCAGCACACCGACACCGUCUCUUCCCUCCGCAUCCCGGCCCCAACCAAGACCCAGACAUCAAAGGCAGGUGGAGUGAAACCAUGAAAUUACAGCCAGUUGACAGCUCAUGUGGGAAAAAAAUCCAACCACAGCUUUGGGUUACACAACACACACACACCCACUGAGCCACAGACAUCGCUAGCCUGGUCCAGCUCAGACGCUGCAGAACACCCACAACGCUUCCCCGCCCCUGGCCUGCCUUCCUCUGCCAGGUGGCCCGCACCGAGCCCGAGCUCUGAGGUAGAUGGAGGAAGGUAAAAGAUGACCUGAGAGGAGGGAAACUCUGCUUUACAAAGAAUCUAUUUAUAUGAAUGUGAAUCUGAGAAUGUAGAAUGUGUCAGAGCUUAAGAGGCCAUAAAUACGAUAUGGUUUUAUCCCAAAAACCCUGGAGCAUGAGACAAUACUCACGUCAUUCAUAGAAAGCAAACCCUGCACAUGCUAGUCCUCACACUGAGAAUAUUCACAUAAAUGUUAUUUUCAGUUGUUUCAUGUCAUAAGUACUUGUCUUUAAAAUUCAC
Long non-coding RNA from Lates calcarifer (barramundi perch), 1028 nucleotides. RefSeq lists it as uncharacterized. The transcript is spliced from 3 exons. NCBI's taxonomy places the organism in Eukaryota, Metazoa, Chordata, Actinopteri, Centropomidae. The record is from RefSeq and is a predicted model, not a curated record.